This 1400-nucleotide ribosomal RNA is filed under the name Escherichia coli. RNAcentral describes it as "bacterial SSU rRNA". It matches the Rfam family "Bacterial small subunit ribosomal RNA". The record is from RNAcentral. Lineage: Bacteria; Pseudomonadati; Pseudomonadota; Gammaproteobacteria; Enterobacterales; Enterobacteriaceae.
ACUGGAAACGGUAGCUAAUACCGCAUAACGUCGCAAGACCAAAGAGGGGGACCUUAGGGCCUCUUGCCAUCGGAUGUGCCCAGAUGGGAUUAGCUAGUAGGUGGGGUAAUGGCUCACCUAGGCGACGAUCCCUAGCUGGUCUGAGAGGAUGACCAGCCACACUGGAACUGAGACACGGUCCAGACUCCUACGGGAGGCAGCAGUGGGGAAUAUUGCACAAUGGGCGCAAGCCUGAUGCAGCCAUGCCGCGUGUAUGAAGAAGGCCUUCGGGUUGUAAAGUACUUUCAGCGGGGAGGAAGGGAGUAAAGUUAAUACCUUUGCUCAUUGACGUUACCCGCAGAAGAAGCACCGGCUAACUCCGUGCCAGCAGCCGCGGUAAUACGGAGGGUGCAAGCGUUAAUCGGAAUUACUGGGCGUAAAGCGCACGCAGGCGGUUUGUUAAGUCAGAUGUGAAAUCCCCGGGCUCAACCUGGGAACUGCAUCUGAUACUGGCAAGCUUGAGUCUCGUAGAGGGGGGUAGAAUUCCAGGUGUAGCGGUGAAAUGCGUAGAGAUCUGGAGGAAUACCGGUGGCGAAGGCGGCCCCCUGGACGAAGACUGACGCUCAGGUGCGAAAGCGUGGGGAGCAAACAGGAUUAGAUACCCUGGUAGUCCACGCCGUAAACGAUGUCGACUUGGAGGUUGUGCCCUUGAGGCGUGGCUUCCGGAGCUAACGCGUUAAGUCGACCGCCUGGGGAGUACGGCCGCAAGGUUAAAACUCAAAUGAAUUGACGGGGGCCCGCACAAGCGGUGGAGCAUGUGGUUUAAUUCGAUGCAACGCGAAGAACCUUACCUGGUCUUGACAUCCACGGAAGUUUUCAGAGAUGAGAAUGUGCCUUCGGGAACCGUGAGACAGGUGCUGCAUGGCUGUCGUCAGCUCGUGUUGUGAAAUGUUGGGUUAAGUCCCGCAACGAGCGCAACCCUUAUCCUUUGUUGCCAGCGGUCCGGCCGGGAACUCAAAGGAGACUGCCAGUGAUAAACUGGAGGAAGGUGGGGAUGACGUCAAGUCAUCAUGGCCCUUACGACCAGGGCUACACACGUGCUACAAUGGCGCAUACAAAGAGAAGCGACCUCGCGAGAGCAAGCGGACCUCAUAAAGUGCGUCGUAGUCCGGAUUGGAGUCUGCAACUCGACUCCAUGAAGUCGGAAUCGCUAGUAAUCGUGGAUCAGAAUGCCACGGUGAAUACGUUCCCGGGCCUUGUACACACCGCCCGUCACACCAUGGGAGUGGGUUGCAAAAGAAGUAGGUAGCUUAACCUUCGGGAGGGCGCUUACCACUUUGUGAUUCAUGACUGGGGUGAAGUCGUAACAAGGUAACCGUAGGGGAACCUGCGGUUGGAUCACCUCCUUACCUUAAAGAAGC